GGCUACGAACCACGGUGUCGGGGGUUCGAAUCCCUCCUCGCCCACAGCCUUCCAAAGGGGGAAGGACCUUUACU
This 74-nucleotide transfer RNA is filed under the name Saccharum spontaneum (wild sugarcane). Its description in RNAcentral is "tRNA-Arg". Lineage: Eukaryota; Viridiplantae; Streptophyta; Magnoliopsida; Poales; Poaceae. The record is from RNAcentral. RNAcentral also lists the same sequence under 1 other name.